Molecule: ribosomal RNA, 277 nt
Filed under: uncultured bacterium
Lineage: Bacteria
Description: partial 16S ribosomal RNA
Rfam family: Bacterial small subunit ribosomal RNA
Source: RNAcentral
GACGAACGCUGGCGGCGUGCUUAACACAUGCAAGUCGAGCGGUAAGGCCCUUUCGGGGGUACACGAGCGGCGAACGGGUGAGUAACACGUGGGUGACCUGCCCUCAGCUCUGGGGAUAAAGCCCUGGGAAACCGGGUCUAAUACUGGAUAUGACUCCAUGACGCAUGUUGUGGGGUGGAAAGCCGUUGUGCGGCUGAGGAUGGGCCCGCGGCCUAUCCAGCUUGUUGGUGGGGUGANGGCCUACCAAGGCGACGACGGGUAGCCGGCCUGAGAGGCG